RNAcentral lists this non-coding RNA (21 nucleotides) under Salmo salar (Atlantic salmon). Its record names the gene ssa-miR-130b-3p. RNAcentral also lists the same sequence under 5 other names. The record is from miRBase by way of RNAcentral. Lineage: Eukaryota; Metazoa; Chordata; Actinopteri; Salmoniformes; Salmonidae.
CAGUGCAAUGUUAAAAGGGCA